ACUUUCAACAACGGAUCUCUUGGUUCUGGCAUCGAUGAAGAACGCAGCGAAAUGCGAUAAGUAAUGUGAAUUGCAGAAUUCAGUGAAUCAUCGAAUCUUUGAACGCACAUUGCGCCCUCUGGUAUUCCGGAGGGCAUGCCUGUUCGAGCGUCAG
Molecule: ribosomal RNA, 154 nt
Filed under: Sphaerulina musiva
Lineage: Eukaryota; Fungi; Ascomycota; Dothideomycetes; Mycosphaerellales; Mycosphaerellaceae
Description: 5.8S ribosomal RNA
Rfam family: 5.8S ribosomal RNA
About the family: 5.8S ribosomal RNA (5.8S rRNA) is a component of the large subunit of the eukaryotic ribosome. It is transcribed by RNA polymerase I as part of the 45S precursor that also contains 18S and 28S rRNA.
Source: RNAcentral